This 850-nucleotide ribosomal RNA is filed under the name uncultured bacterium. RNAcentral describes it as "bacterial SSU rRNA". It matches the Rfam family "Bacterial small subunit ribosomal RNA", at positions 54 to 902 of the family's 1533-position model. The record is from RNAcentral.
CCUGCAGUCGACGGCAGCACGGGGGCAACCCUGGUGGCGAGUGGCGAACGGGUGAGUAAUACAUCGGAACGUGCCCAGUCGUGGGGGAUAACGUAGCGAAAGCUACGCUAAUACCGCAUACGAACUGAGGUUGAAAGCGGGGGACCGUAAGGCCUCGCGCGAUUGGAGCGGCCGAUGGCAGAUUAGGUAGUUGGUGGGGUAAAGGCUCACCAAGCCGACGAUCUGUAGCUGGUCUGAGAGGACGACCAGCCACACUGGGACUGAGACACGGCCCAGACUCCUACGGGAGGCAGCAGUGGGGAAUUUUGGACAAUGGGCGCAAGCCUGAUCCAGCCAUUCCGCGUGCAGGAUGAAGGCCCUCGGGUUGUAAACUGCUUUUGUACGGAACGAAAAGGCUCUGGUUAAUACCUGGGGCUCAUGACGGUACCGUAAGAAUAAGCACCGGCUAACUACGUGCCAGCAGCCGCGGUAAUACAUAGGGUGCAAGCGUUAAUCGGAAUUACUGGGCGUAAAGCGUGCGCAGGCGGUGAUGUAAGACAGGUGUGAAAUCCCCGGGCUUAACCUGGGAACUGCAUUUGUGACUGCAUCGCUGGAGUGCGGCAGAGGGGGAUGGAAUUCCGCGUGUAGCAGUGAAAUGCGUAGAUAUGCGGAGGAACACCGAUGGCGAAGGCAAUCCCCUGGGCCUGCACUGACGCUCAUGCACGAAAGCGUGGGGAGCAAACAGGAUUAGAUACCCUGGUAGUCCACGCCCUAAACGAUGUCAACUGGUUGUUGGUCCUUCACUGGAUCAGUAACGAAGCUAACGCGUGAAGUUGACCGCCUGGGGAGUACGGCCGCAAGGUUGAAACUC